GUGAUCACUUUGGCAGCAUAUUACUAAAAUUGGAAUUACACAGAGAAAAUUAGCAUGGACCCUAUCUAGGCAUGACAUGUAAAUUCAUUAAGUGUUCCAUAUUAGA
Molecule: small nuclear RNA, 106 nt
Organism: Microtus ochrogaster (prairie vole)
Lineage: Eukaryota; Metazoa; Chordata; Mammalia; Rodentia; Cricetidae
Source: Ensembl